This 429-nucleotide ribosomal RNA is filed under the name bacterium. RNAcentral's name for it is "partial 16S ribosomal RNA". It matches the Rfam family "Bacterial small subunit ribosomal RNA", at positions 355 to 776 of the family's 1533-position model. The record is from RNAcentral.
UAGGGAAUCUUCGGCAAUGGGGGCAACCCUGACCGAGCAACGCCGCGUGAGUGAAGAAGGUUUUCGGAUCGUAAAGCUCUGUUGUAAGAGAAGAACGUGUGUGAGAGUGGAAAGUUCACACAGUGACGGUAACUUACCAGAAAGGGACGGCUAACUACGUGCCAGCAGCCGCGGUAAUACGGAGGUCCCGAGCGUUGUCCGGAUUUAUUGGGCGUAAAGCGAGCGCAGGCGGUUUAAUAAGGCUGAAGCUAAAGGCAGUGGCUUAACCAUUGUGCGCUUUGGAAGCUGUUAAGCUUGAGUGCAGAAGGGGAGAGUGGAGUUCCAGGUAGAGCGGUGAAGUGCGUAGAUAUAUGGGGGAACACCGGUGGCGAAGGCGGCUCUCUGGUCUGUAACUGGCGCUGAGGCUCGAAAGCGUGGGGAGCAAACAGG